This 497-nucleotide ribosomal RNA is filed under the name uncultured bacterium. RNAcentral's name for it is "partial 16S ribosomal RNA". It matches the Rfam family "Bacterial small subunit ribosomal RNA", at positions 28 to 507 of the family's 1533-position model. The record is from RNAcentral.
GAUGAACGCUGGCGACGUGCCUAAUACAUGCAAGUCGAGCGAACAGACGAGGAGCUUGCUCCUCUGACGUUAGCGGCGGACGGGUGAGUAACACGUGGAUAACCUACCUAUAAGACUGGGAUAACUUCGGGAAACCGGAGCUAAUACCGGAUAAUAUAUUGAACCGCAUGGUUCAAUAGUGGAAGACGGUUUUGCUGUCACUUAUAGAUGGAUCCGCGCCGCAUUAGCUAGUUGGUAAGGUAACGGCUUACCAAGGCAACGAUGCGUAGCCGACCUGAGAGGGUGAUCGGCCACACUGGGACUGAGACACGGUCCAGACUCCUACGGGAGGCAGCAGUAGGGAAUCUUCCGCAAUGGGCGAAAGCCUGACGGAGCAACGCCGCGUGAGUGAUGAAGGUCUUCGGAUCGUAAAACUCUGUUAUUAGGGAAGAACAAAUGUGUAAGUAACUAUGCACGUCUUGACGGUACCUAAUCAGAAAGCCACGGCUAACUACGUG